Long non-coding RNA from Gossypium arboreum, 929 nucleotides. RefSeq lists it as uncharacterized. The record is from RefSeq and is a predicted model, not a curated record. The transcript is spliced from 3 exons. Lineage: Eukaryota; Viridiplantae; Streptophyta; Magnoliopsida; Malvales; Malvaceae.
UAUGUGUUUUGGGUGUGUGUGUAAGGUCCCAAGUUCAAGCCUUAACUUGGGCAAAAUUUUGUUUUUAAAUGAACAAAGCCUUACUCUUGUCCAGUAGGCUUAAGUUUAAAUGUUAGUAAAUUAAUAUAAAAAUGGGCCUGUUGGUUUGGUGGUUAAGUGGAGUGUCAAGUGUGCUGAAGAUCUUGUGUUUGAUUCCCUGCUUCAGUUUUUAUUUUUCAGUGGUUAUAGGGAGGAGUUUGAGUGGCGUUAGAAUUCUAAGUAGUGGGGAGUUCAUAGAGAAAAUUAAGGGAUUGUGGUUAGUGGGAAUUAUCAGAAUAUUUUUCUGAUUGAUUUCUUUUUGGCAAAAUUUGACACAUUCUCUCCUUUCUUCCAAAAUUCUGACUUUUGAUUAUCCUCUCUCCUUACCGAAUUUUCAUCUUGUUCACAUCUGUUCUUUUCAAUUUCUUUCCUAUUUCAUUUCUGUUCUACCUCUGUCUGGGUCAACGACUGUUUUGCACAUUCAGUAAGUUUUAGUAUUCAAUUGGUUUAGACUAUUCUUUUGUAUAUUGAUUUAAAAGGGGUUUCGGCUGGUUUAUAGGUAUUAACCGAGGGGCUGGUGAUCGUUUCUCAACGGUUUAAGAGGGUUGGACUUCUGUUGUUCGAACGAGGGUUUCAGAGGGCUGGGAGACUAUAUUCGUAUCAAAGGAAACUAGGUAAUUCCCAGACUUGAUAGGUCGGUGCAGCGGAGGACUUAGCAAGGGCCACACAGUUUUCCAUUUGGACUAUUUUCUGUUUACAUAUGAUUUAAUUUAUAUUUGGGGAAAAUUUGAUGUAAUUAAGGCCUUUACAGAUUUUUGCUUAAUUUGGGAUUUUGGAAUGUUUUACAAAACCACCACGGAUACGAAAAUGUUUUUAAAAGCUUCCGCGUAAAAGUAAUAUUUUAAAUCAAA